RNAcentral lists this ribosomal RNA (506 nucleotides) under uncultured bacterium. Its description in RNAcentral is "partial 16S ribosomal RNA". It matches the Rfam family "Bacterial small subunit ribosomal RNA", at positions 28 to 523 of the family's 1533-position model. The record is from RNAcentral.
GAUGAACGCUAGCUACAGGCUUAACACAUGCAAGUCGAGGGGUAACGAGAGGAAAGCUUGCUUUCCUUGUCGACGACCGGCGCACGGGUGAGUAACGCGUAUCCAACCUGCCCCCAACUAAGGAAUAACCUUGCGAAAGUAAGACUAAUACCUUAUGAUUUCCUCAGAUGACAUCUGACGAGGAAUAAAGAUUUAUCGGUUGUGGAUGGGGAUGCGUCUGAUUAGCUUGUUGGCGGGGUAACGGCCCACCAAGGCAACGAUCAGUAGGGGUUCUGAGAGGAAGGUCCCCCACAUUGGAACUGAGACACGGUCCAAACUCCUACGGGAGGCAGCAGUGAGGAAUAUUGGUCAAUGGGCGGAAGCCUGAACCAGCCAAGUAGCGUGCAGGAUGACGGCCCUAUGGGUUGUAAACUGCUUUUAUACAGGAAUAAAGUUAGCCACGUGUGGUUAUUUGUAGGUACUGUAUGAAUAAGGACCGGCUAAUCCCGUGCCAGCCGCCGCCGUAA